GGGAAGAAAAUAUGAAGAUCAAUGAUGCUGGAAGAUACAUAAGAAAGAUUCUCCCACUAAUUUCAAUGGAAUUAAGGGAAUCACCGCUCCUUCUUCUCCUCCCUCUUUCUAUCUGUUGCAGAAACUAGAAAUACGACAUACACACAGUUAACGCGUUCGUCUUUUUGUUUUAUUCAUAGGGCUAUCUUGAUGUUAAUUUUGGGUUUUUGUUGAACAUAAUUAUGAUAUGUGUUCUUGAUGUCAACUGGCAUUCACUCCGUACCUCAAGAACAUCUAACACCAUUUUCCAAAUACCAUUUUUUAUGGUAUCAACAGAUGAAGAUAAACAAAAAAGAGAAUAAAAAAGGAGUCGAUUUGCAUCAGGUAACAAUUCAAUCUUCAAAUAUGUUUCAUGCUUGAUUUUUGUUUAGCGAUGCAAGUAAUAUGAUAGUUAAAUAUAUCUCUUUUUUGUAUUUGCUUUUAGUUGUAGAAACGAUAGAAUAGACAAAGAAGUUUUCGUCAAAAGAUAUUAGGUGAGUUAUCCAGAGUUCAGAUUGAUUGAGUAGUUGGUAAAAUAAUAUAAAAAAGUGGUCAACAUUUAUCCGUAUGAUCAUAAAAAAUAGAAGUGGUCAAAUAAUUUUAUAAUUUUGCCUCUAAAAUAAAAUGGAAAUUUUCUUUUGGACUAAAAAAGAGUAUCGAAAAACUCCCAAAAUAAGACGCUCAACACUCAGAUGAACACGCUCAUUAAAAAAACUAAAAAAAUGCUUUUAUUUUUUACUGAAUUUUUAAUAUAUUUUUCCUAUUUUAUGUAGAUACCAACCAGUUUCUUUCAUGUUGAUCCUCAUCCUAGAAACCUUGCAAUUGGCCCUUUUACACUUCUUUUUUAGGGCGUUUUAUUUUCAUUUUUUUGUAAAAUCUUUUAACUUUUGCAUUAUAGGAGUAUUGAUUAUGGACUGCACAUCUAUACAGAUUAUUCUAACUUCUUGACAGCUCAAUAUGAAGUCACCUUAUAGGAAUUCGACAUUCAAAAAGCUUUUUAACUUGCCACCAAAUGAAUUUCUCAUCGGUGAUUUUGUCAUGCUCUCCAUGAGAAAAUUAGCCCUUCAGGUAUACUCGGACAGUUGGAUUUGAUUAGGGACUGCACAUUUACAUGAACCGGUUCCUUAUUAUAGUUUCCAAUUUCAUUUUUGAAGAGUAAACUCUUCCUAUAUUCAAGAACUGUUGAGUUUUAUGCCAACUUAUUAGUACACAAAACAAGGUUUUCAUUGCAACUGUUUUUUAUUCUUUUAUUUGUUCUUUUAGUGUAUGAUACAAAAUUAGAUGAGUUAGACCAAUGUUAUGAGCUAUC
Non-coding RNA from Lactuca sativa (garden lettuce), 1327 nucleotides. Lineage: Eukaryota; Viridiplantae; Streptophyta; Magnoliopsida; Asterales; Asteraceae. The record is from RefSeq and is a predicted model, not a curated record.